CCUACGGGUGGCAGCAGUAGGGGAUCUUGGACAAUGGGCGAAAGCCUGAUCCAGCGACGCCGCGUGGGGGACGAAGGCCUUCGGGUUGUAAACCCCUGUUGUUGGGAAAGAAGCCGGGCUUCGCCCGGUGACGGUACCCAACGAGGAAGCCCCGGCUAACUACGUGCCAGCAGCCGCGGUAAGACGUAGGGGGCGAGCGUUAUCCGGAUUCACUGGGCGUAAAGGGCGCGCAGGCGGCUAUGUAAGUCCGGCGUGAAAUCCCACGGCUCAACUGUGGAACUGCGUCGGAUACUGCAUUGGCUUGAGGAUGGUAGAGGCUAUUGGAACUAGCGGUGUAGCGGUGAAAUGCGCAGAUAUCGCUAGGAACGCCGGUGGCGAAGGCGAAUAGCUGGGCCAUUCCUGACGCUGAGGCGCGAAAGCUAGGGGAGCGAACCGGAUUA
This 440-nucleotide ribosomal RNA is filed under the name uncultured bacterium. RNAcentral describes it as "bacterial SSU rRNA". It matches the Rfam family "Bacterial small subunit ribosomal RNA", at positions 338 to 780 of the family's 1533-position model. The record is from RNAcentral.